RNAcentral lists this ribosomal RNA (447 nucleotides) under uncultured bacterium. RNAcentral describes it as "partial 16S ribosomal RNA". It matches the Rfam family "Bacterial small subunit ribosomal RNA", at positions 330 to 794 of the family's 1533-position model. The record is from RNAcentral.
CCCAGACUCCUACGGGAGGCAGCAGUGGGGAAUAUUGCACAAUGGGGGAAACCCUGAUGCAGCGACGCCGCGUGAGUGAAGAAGUAAUUCGUUAUGUAAAGCUCUAUCAGCAGGGAAGAAAAUGACGGUACCUGAGUAAGAGGCCCCGGCUAACUACGUGCCAGCAGCCGCGGUAAUACGUAGGGGGCAAGCGUUAUCCGGAUUUACUGGGUGUAAAGGGAGCGUAGACGGCAGUGCAAGUCUGGAGUGAAAGGCGGGGGCUCAACCCCCGGACUGCUCUGGAAACUGCGGCGCUGGAGUACGGGAGGGGCAGGCGGAAUUCCUGGUGUAGCGGUGAAAUGCGUAGAUAUCAGGAGGAACACCAGUGGCGAAGGCGGCUUGCUGGACAGAGACUGACGUUGAGGCGCGAAAGCGUGGGGAGCAAACAGGAUUAGAUACCCUCGUAGC